AGUGAACGCUGGCGGUAGGCCUAACACAUGCAAGUCGAACGGCAGCACAGGAGAGCUUGCUCUCUGGGUGGCGAGUGGCGGACGGGUGAGGAAUACAUCGGAAUCUACUCUGUCGUGGGGGAUAACGUAGGGAAACUUACGCUAAUACCGCAUACGACCUACGGGUGAAAGCAGGGGACCUUCGGGCCUUGCGCGAUUGAAUGAGCCGAUGUCGGAUUAGCUAGUUGGCGGGGUAAAGGCCCACCAAGGCGACGAUCCGUAGCUGGUCUGAGAGGAUGAUCAGCCACACUGGAACUGAGACACGGUCCAGACUCCUACGGGAGGCAGCAGUGGGGAAUAUUGGACAAUGGGCGCAAGCCUGAUCCAGCCAUACCGCGCGGGUGAAGAAGGCCUUCGGGUCGUAAAGCCCUUUUGUUGGGAAAGAAAUCCAGCUGGCUAAUACCCGGUUGGGAUGACGGUACCCAAAGAAUAAGCACCGGCUAACUUCGUGCCAGCAGCCGCAGUAA
RNAcentral lists this ribosomal RNA (506 nucleotides) under uncultured bacterium. RNAcentral's name for it is "partial 16S ribosomal RNA". It matches the Rfam family "Bacterial small subunit ribosomal RNA", at positions 29 to 523 of the family's 1533-position model. The record is from RNAcentral.